RNAcentral lists this ribosomal RNA (904 nucleotides) under Gloniopsis calami. Its description in RNAcentral is "eukaryotic LSU rRNA". It matches the Rfam family "Eukaryotic large subunit ribosomal RNA", at positions 37 to 961 of the family's 3401-position model. Lineage: Eukaryota; Fungi; Ascomycota; Dothideomycetes; Hysteriales; Hysteriaceae. The record is from RNAcentral.
AGCAUAUCAAUAAGCGGAGGAAAAGAAACCAACAGGGAUUGCCUCAGUAACGGCGAGUGAAGCGGCAACAGCUCAAAUUUGAAAUCUGGCUCUUUCAGGGUCCGAGUUGUAAUUUGUAGAGGAUGCUUCGGCGUGGGCCCCGGUCUAAGUUCCUUGGAACAGGACGUCACAGAGGGUGAGAAUCCCGUACGUGGCCGGCGGUGCUCGCCAUGUGAAGCUCCUUCGACGAGUCGAGUUGUUUGGGAAUGCAGCUCUAAAUGGGAGGUAAAUUUCUUCUAAAGCUAAAUACCGGCCAGAGACCGAUAGCGCACAAGUAGAGUGAUCGAAAGAUGAAAAGCACUUUGGAAAGAGAGUCAAAAAGUACGUGAAAUUGUUGAAAGGGAAGCGCUUGCAACCAGACCUGACCGUAGUUGCUCAUCCGGGCUCUUGCCCGGUGCACUCUUCUGCGAGCAGGCCAGCAUCAGUUCUGGCGGUCGGAUAAAGGCGGCGGGAAUGUGGCUCCUCUCGGGGAGUGUUAUAGCCCGCCGUGUCAUGCGGCCAGCCGGGACUGAGGUCCGCGCUUCGGCUAGGAUGCUGGCGUAAUGGUUGUAAGCGGCCCGUCUUGAAACACGGACCAAGGAGUCUAACAUCUGUGCGAGUGUUUGGGUGUCAAGCCCGGGCGCGUAAUGAAAGUGAACGGAGGCGGGAACCUUUGGGUGCACCGUCGACCGAUCCUGAUGUCUUCGGAUGGAUUUGAGUAAGAGCAUAGCUGUUGGGACCCGAAAGAUGGUGAACUAUGCCUGAAUAGGGUGAAGCCAGAGGAAACUCUGGUGGAGGCUCGCAGCGGUUCUGACGUGCAAAUCGAUCGUCAAAUUUGGGCAUAGGGGCGAAAGACUAAUCGAACUAUCUAGUAGCUGGUUCCUGC